This 253-nucleotide ribosomal RNA is filed under the name uncultured bacterium. RNAcentral's name for it is "partial 16S ribosomal RNA". It matches the Rfam family "Bacterial small subunit ribosomal RNA", at positions 524 to 776 of the family's 1533-position model. The record is from RNAcentral. RNAcentral also lists the same sequence under 1 other name.
GACAGAGGGUGCAAACGUUGCUCGGAAUUACUGGGCGUAAAGCGCGUGUAGGUGGCCACGCAAGUCAGGUGUGAAAGCCCAGGGCUCAACCCUGGAAGUGCACAUGAUACUACGUGGCUGGAGUACUGAAGAGGAGAGCGGAAUUCCCGGUGUAGAGGUGAAAUUCGUAGAUAUCGGGAGGAACACCAGUGGCGAAGGCGGCUCUCUGGGCAGAUACUGACACUGAGACGCGAAAGCGUGGGUAGCAAACAGG